Erinaceus europaeus (western European hedgehog) is the source of this 401-nucleotide long non-coding RNA. RefSeq lists it as uncharacterized. The transcript is spliced from 3 exons. NCBI's taxonomy places the organism in Eukaryota, Metazoa, Chordata, Mammalia, Eulipotyphla, Erinaceidae. The record is from RefSeq and is a predicted model, not a curated record.
AUUUCUCUGGAUGAGAGAAAUAGAGAGAGACAGAGAUACCACAUCUCCAAAGCUUCUGCUGAGGCCAUGAGAACUGGAGCUUGAACUCAGGCUUCAUGCAGUCAGGAAUGUCUGGACCCAGGUGCACUCUACAGUUGUUUCAACCAAGAUUGCCUUCAGGAUGUCAAAGCGAAAGGCUCAUUAUGAGUUAUCUGCAUGGACACAGAAAACAAAAUAAUGGAUAUAUACCAAGAGUAAAUUUGAAGAUACUAGACUCUGGGACUUGAAGAAUAGUUCAUCUGGUAGAACACUUACUUUUCACUGGCUAUGGCCUAGGCUUUUAUUCCAUCUCUGUAUAGGAGUGCUCUGGUUCUGUUAGAUAUCUUAUUUUCUCUUCAUUUCUGUCUCUUCAUUUGAAUGAA